GUGGGGAAUUUUGCGCAAUGGACGAAAGUCUGACGCAGCAACGCCGCGUGGGUGAUGAAGGUCUUCGGAUUGUAAAACCCUGUCGUCAGGGACGAAGGUAGGGGCCUUAAUACGGUUUCUGCUUGACGGUACCUGGAGAGGAAGCCCCGGCUAACUCUGUGCCAGCAGCCGCGGUAAUACAGAGGGGGCAAGCGUUAUUCGGAAUUAUUGGGCGUAAAGGGCGCGUAGGCGGUUUUGUAAGUAGGAUGUGUAAUCCCCGAGCUCAACUUGGGAACUGCAUCCUAGACUGCAAGGCUAGAGUGCUGGAGAGGGUGGUAGAAUUCCACGUGUAGCGGUGAAAUGCGUAGAGAUGUGGAGGAAUACCAGUGGCGAAGGCGGCCACCUGGACAGUAACUGACGCUGAGGCGCGAAAGUGUGGGGAGCAAACAGGAUUAGAUACCCCAGUAGUCC
RNAcentral lists this ribosomal RNA (450 nucleotides) under uncultured bacterium. Its description in RNAcentral is "bacterial SSU rRNA". It matches the Rfam family "Bacterial small subunit ribosomal RNA", at positions 354 to 796 of the family's 1533-position model. The record is from RNAcentral.